GUUGAGUUGAGUUGAGUUUAAUGAGCAAUGCCUUUGUGGUCAAAAGUCAUUGAAACAGAAGUAUUUGACUGAGCAAAGUGCAAAAAAGGACCAUAAUGGAAUAAAAGCAAUAAAGUAAAAUGCUUUUUCAUAUACUUCAUUUUUGCAAUAAGAUAACUCAUGCACGAAUAUUGAGUGAAGUGCAGAUGGAGGGACUGUUUUCAGUCUAGAAUCUUGAUAUGCACUUUUGGUAUACAUAUUUUAAGUUUACCAUACGCUAAUCUCUAGGCUGAUAUAAUGUCAAGAAUGAAAAACCUUCUAUUCA
Molecule: unclassified non-coding RNA, 304 nt
Filed under: Hevea brasiliensis (rubber tree)
Lineage: Eukaryota; Viridiplantae; Streptophyta; Magnoliopsida; Malpighiales; Euphorbiaceae
Source: RNAcentral